CGACCCUCAAGCACAGCUUGGUGUUGGGUGCGGUCCCGGGGGACCCGCCCGCAACUCGUAGGCGGCCGGCGCCCGCGCCCCCAGCGUAGCAAGCUCACGCGUUCGCUCGGGGACGGCGCGGCUGGCAAGCCAUAAACCUUUCCAAG
RNAcentral lists this unclassified non-coding RNA (146 nucleotides) under uncultured Venturiales. Its description in RNAcentral is "sequence contains ITS2". Lineage: Eukaryota; Fungi; Ascomycota; Dothideomycetes. The record is from RNAcentral.